GUGACAGAUACAUUAAAAGUGAAAAACAAAAGAAUGGAAGGCAGGUUGAGAGUCUGGGUAACGAACAACCGAAAUGAGGCAAACUCCGCUGCUAUCCCCGAAGUACCAGUUGAAGAAUUUGAAGCCUUCUGCAGGUCGCAUUCAAAAGAGGCCAUUCUCGUUUGGAAUUCUUGCUUCAGUUCUUCAAUAGUCGACCUCAAUCCAGAUUCCAUUGUGAUGUGAUGGUGUAAUGAGUGAAGUGUAGCAAGUUAAGGAUAAUGUAGGAGAAAUACACACUAAACCCGGCAGGUAGACAGUUUAGUCAAUAGUAGUAGACAUAAAAUACUGAAAAAUACUGUCUUUUACUAAUUUAUAUACUACUAUUUAUAUACUAUUUAAAUUAAAAGUAGAGCAAAACCAAA
Molecule: long non-coding RNA, 401 nt
Filed under: Manduca sexta (tobacco hornworm)
Lineage: Eukaryota; Metazoa; Arthropoda; Insecta; Lepidoptera; Sphingidae
Description: uncharacterized LOC119189199, transcript variant X2
Source: RNAcentral